Cervus hanglu yarkandensis (Yarkand deer) is the source of this 2379-nucleotide long non-coding RNA. The record is from Ensembl. NCBI's taxonomy places the organism in Eukaryota, Metazoa, Chordata, Mammalia, Artiodactyla, Cervidae.
CUUUAAGGCAGCAUGUUCAAGGUGCACGUCAAAAGUUCCACAAGUUUGUUCCCCCGACUUUCCCACUGACUCACCGCCUGACCAGAGACUGCUCACUGAAACUCCCUGGGCCGGUUUCAUGAUCAUGUGUAAAACAGGGUUAAUGAGAUCUGCUUCCCCAGGGCGCUGCAAGAACCAAGUUAUGGUUUGCAAAAGGCUUUGUGACUCAUACAUAAAAGGCUGUACAAGAAAGUAAACUGUCAUUGAGCCUUACAAACAGUUUUCAUCCCAAUUAUCCUAGUCAAGAGAGAAGGCUAUCCUAAGCUUUCAAAAGAUAAUUCAAUUAGCAUGAAGUUCCGAGAAUUUUCAAAGCUCAGGUGCUGACUCAGGUUUUUUGUCUUUUUUUUUUUUCUAGGAAUCAGAAAUGUCAUUCAUAGAUAAGUGCAGGGAGGAGCAAAAUAGAAAGACAGGAAAUUCUUGGCUCUGGGAUCUGGUAAUAAGGGAGCCUGCCACUUUCAAAUUACCUGCUGGAAUCCAGCUCAAGACAAUUAUAGAUGAAAAAUCUUCCUGAUCUUCAGCCACCUACCCAAAAUUGAUGUUGGUUUUACACUUCCUAAAGUUGGAGCAAUGAUUUUCAUGACUUAGGGGAAAGGUAUCCAGUAGAUUCAAGAAGAUCAGGAAGCUUCUCCUGGAAAAAUACUAAAAUUCCAGUUUCUCAAAAAUCUUGGCAGAUUUCCACUAUAGGAAACCCCAUUGUCCAGAGUGGCAGAACCAUCAUUAUCCUAACAGCCAGGAUCCGAUUCUUCUUGAAGAACCGUCCGUCCUGUUGGGGAACUGCUUUGAUAAGCUCUUGGGGUUGGAAGAUGACACUUUCAGAGCACCCUUGUCAGCAGAAGCCAAGGAAACUGACAGCUAAACUUCUCUGCCACCUGCAUAAGAGGAAUUGCUGGGGAGUGGAAGGGGGACAUGGAAAGGAAAAGGAGAAGGUAACCACAGAGAACCCAGAUAGGAGAGAAAGAAAUUAGCCAACCCAGUAUGGCAAGACUGAGGCAUCUCACUGAACAAGACCACAGAACUUCCUCCAAAGACAGGUGAUGUGAAGGAAACUUCAGGGGGUAUCUGUUUUCCAAUUUGCACUUGUCCAGAUUGUUUGUUUACAAAGACCUCUGCUCACUUCCUCCCCCUUUUAUGCAUCAGGAUUUCAUACCUGUGUGUGAUGCAUGGGGAGUGAGUGUGUGUGUGUGUGUGUGUGUGUGUGUGUGUUGGAAAGGACCUGAUUUUCACAAAUGGUGACCUCAGUGUUGACAAAAUCAGCCCACACUGGAUAAUUCCCAAAACAAUUCCUGGAAAUGGGGUCCCAGAAUCAGGUGUGACCUGAGAAUAUAGGCCUUAGAAUACAUCAAGAUCUUGUUGUAAAUAUCUCUGGACUUUCACAAGGUCAGAAUGAAGUGCUCAUAACUUGAUAUCAAGCAGCUUUUGAAUUUCUAAUGCUUUGAUUACUGAAGAAGCUUGUUCAUUUAUUGAUAAUGUUCAUUAAUUUUUGGUGAAUUGUCUGCCUGCAUCUCUGCCUAAUUUUUAAGGCACUUUUUAAAAUAUUUAUAACAACUCUUUACAUAUUAAGCAUAUGAGCUCCAUGACAGAACUUUGCAAUUUUUUUCCCCUCUUUGGCUCUCGUAUUUCACUAGGAUCACUGUAUUAUUGAUAAACAUUUAUGAACUAUUUUUAUAGCUUUUAGCUUUGUUAUUAUGUUUAAAUAGACCUUCUGCACUCCAAAGGGUUUAUCCAUAUUUUUCACUAGUUUUGUAAUAAAUUUUUUAUUUUUAACUCUAGAAUUCUUCUGGAAUUUAACUUGCUGUAAGUUUAUGUAGAAUGUUGAGACUAUGUUUAUAAAUGAGAUUAGGUUUCCAGCUCUCUGUUUUGCAUCUUCAUAAUCAAAUGUGGGUAAUACUAGUUUGUAAAGUAAUGUCAGCUCUUUGUGUACCGUAUCACAGUUUAUGGAUCACAACACUGAUCUUCAUUUUUAACCUGUCCUUAACAGAGUAGGAGAGCUGACCAGCUCAGUAUUCUGCUCCAAAGCAUUUUCAGAAAAUAAUAUUUGACAAACAUUUUCAAUGUUUUGCUCAACUAUUUGUUCAUAUGCUCAGAUUCUUUUCUUCUUGAACCCCAUUUCAUGAUUUAUAUUCCCUAAUAUUCAGUCAUUUUUUGAGAUUUUUAAAUCAUUUAGGGUAGAAUUAUAAGCAAUAUUUGCUUAUAAUUUUAAAUUUCUCAUUAUUGUUAUUUCCUUUUUAUCUGGACAUCAAUUAUUUUAUUUUUGUAUUUUCUACCUUAAUUAUAAUAAUUUUUGCUCUCUGUGUAAUUUUUCCAUUCUCAUUUAAAGUUAUAUACUUUGUUAUUCUUUAC